CCAUGGACUCGGGAACCGAGGAGUACGAGCUCAACGGCGGCCUGCCUCCGGGCACACCCGGCUCCCCGGACGCCUCGCCCGCAGGUUGAAGGUUCCUGGGGCCACAUCUGGGCCAAGAGGCAUGGUCCUUGGAGCCGGCCCGCGGGGGCUGGAGGCACGGGCCCAUCAACGUGAACCAUUACGCCAACAAGAAGAGCGCAGCCGAGAGCAUGCUGGACAUCGCGCUGCUGAUGGCCAACGCGUCCCAGCUGAAGGCCGUCGUGGAACAGGGCCCCAGCUUCGCCUUCUAUGUGCCCCUGGUGGUCCUCAUCUCCAUCUCCCUUGUGCUGCAGAUCGGCGUGGGGGUGCUGCUCAUCUUCCUUGUCAAGUACGACCUUAACAACCCGGCCAAGCACGCCAAGCUGGACUUCCUCAACAACCUGGCCACGGGCCUGGUGUUCAUCAUCGUGGUAGUCAACAUCUUCAUCACGGCCUUCGGGGUCCAGAAGCCCUUGAUGGACAUGGCACCCCAGCAGUAGGACACCCAGGACCCUGGAUGCUGCCUGCCCUGCAACUCAGCUGCCCGACCCCAGGAGUCGCCAUACCUGUGAGGUGUCCACCUCCCUGCACAUGGCACUACCCAGACUGCCAGAGCCCAGGCUGGCCUCAUCUGCACCAUGUCCCCGGACCAGCCCUUGCUCUGACUGUGGCCAAGCACCACGCAGGAGGCCACUCUUGUCUCUCAGCAGCUGUUCCCAGGAGGCAGCUCCCUCCUGGCACAUGGGGGCUGGCCACAAUAACCCAGAGGGUCAGAACUGGACAGCUGCAGAGACCUGUGCCCAGAGAAGGGUCUCAACCCACUCAAGGACACACAGCAGGUCC
Molecule: small RNA, 861 nt
Filed under: Pan troglodytes (chimpanzee)
Lineage: Eukaryota; Metazoa; Chordata; Mammalia; Primates; Hominidae
Description: processed transcript
Source: RNAcentral